Long non-coding RNA from Erinaceus europaeus (western European hedgehog), 924 nucleotides. RefSeq lists it as uncharacterized. The transcript has 3 exons. The record is from RefSeq and is a predicted model, not a curated record. NCBI's taxonomy places the organism in Eukaryota, Metazoa, Chordata, Mammalia, Eulipotyphla, Erinaceidae.
UAUUAAAUGACCCCCCAUUCUUUGCUCCAGAUGGCCCUGAAUAUUACUUGGGGAAGCAGCUCAGAGAGCAGCUACCAUCUAGCAACUCCUCUCCUGGGUGCAUAGCCAGUGGUCAAAAGCAGCAGAUGCAAGCUGCCCUUUGUAUAUGCGAAAGAAAGAAACUUGGGACAAGAGGAGCACACAAGGAAGAAAAAGCUGUAAUUUGAAAACCUCCUUCCAGGAAACCUGUGCCAGAUCUAUCAGCCUGGAAAGUGAAGAGAAGCUGAGAACCUAUGUGUCUCUAUCUCCAUUGACAAAAUGACAGAUUUCUGAACAAAAUAGGAAAAGAUUGCUUCCGAGUUGCCUCAUCCCUUGACCUGAUUUCACCUCCAAGAUAACAUAUCUCCAACUUUACAGCAUUUAAUCAGAUCAAGGAUGGUCCUUUGAUUAUCAGACCCAUGUCUGUCUAUUAGCUUUAGAUCCAUCUGCCUUGAAGAAGAACAAAGAGUUGGCAUGGUAGAUAUGCACUUGUAUGAAAACCAAGUUGUAAACUUGUUGAGACAUGAACGCAGUUAGCAUAAGGCUGACGUCAACCUGAUGAGCAUAUCACAGAAUUAUGCAAACCCACAAAGGAUUGUGGGUUCACAGGAAGUGAUUUAAACAAGUGUCUGGCAGAAGUCACUCUCUGUUCCUGUGUGUCCUCUUUUCCUGCUGCCCUUUGCCUGCUCUGCUUCUCCCUGGGACUGGCCAUGUUGCUUCCUCCAGAACCUGAACACAUGUAGCAGAACCUUGUUAACUCAUCUUAAAGACUCAUGGCUCCUGCCAACAUGACUAGCCAAUCUUUGCACUUUGCUUAUUUUGUUGUACCUAAAUAACUGCAAUGCAAUAAGUCUACCAUUUGUUUAAGUCCCAAACAAAGCUGCAUUCAAGUUUUUUAUUGGAGGA